AGUCAUUGGAUCAGGGCUAUAAUAGAUUGUUAACAAUGUUAUUAGUUUUCUUCUAUGAAGGUUGUUUAUUGCAGUGUGUAAUAAUAUUAUUACCAUGUAAUUCUAGGUACAGUGUUACUAGCUGAGUAAGGAGAGCUGGGGUUGUUCAGCCAGUAAAUGCCAUAUUAUGGUGACUGGGACACAGCUCUAUAAUGUUUCCUACCCUGGGUUUGCAAUAUAUUAUGAUAUAUUAUGAUCU
Molecule: non-coding RNA, 238 nt
Organism: Pelobates cultripes (western spadefoot toad)
Lineage: Eukaryota; Metazoa; Chordata; Amphibia; Anura; Pelobatidae
Source: the annotation of a GenBank genome assembly